UACGCAGGGGGCUAGCGUUGCUCGGAAUCACUGGGCGUAAAGCGCACGUAGGCGGCUUCUUAAGUCAGGGGUGAAAUCCUGGGGCUCAACCCCAGAACUGCCCUUGAUACUGAGGAGCUUGAGUCCGGGAGAGGUGAGUGGAACUCCGAGUGUAGAGGUGAAAUUCGUAGAUAUUCGGAAGAACACCAGUGGCGAAGGCGGCUCACGGGCCCGGUACUGACGAUGAGGUGCGAAAGCGUGGGGAGCAAACAGG
This 253-nucleotide ribosomal RNA is filed under the name uncultured bacterium. RNAcentral's name for it is "partial 16S ribosomal RNA". It matches the Rfam family "Bacterial small subunit ribosomal RNA", at positions 524 to 776 of the family's 1533-position model. The record is from RNAcentral.